AUUGAACGCUGGCGGCAGGCCUAACACAUGCAAGUCGAGCGAGCGGCGGACGGGUGAGUAAUGUCUGGGAAACUGCCUGAUGGAGGGGGAUAACUACUGGAAACGGUAGCUAAUACCGCAUACCAUCAGAUGUGCCCAGAUGGGAUUAGCUAGUGGGUGGGGUAAUGGCUCACCUAGGCGACGAUCCCUAGCUGGUCUGAGAGGAUGACCAGCCACACUGGAACGGUGACACGGGCCAGACUCCUACGGGAGGCAGCAGUGGGGAAUAUGGCACAAAGGGCUCAAGCCUGAUGCAGCCAUGCCGCGUGUAUGAAGAAGGCCUUCGGGUUGUAAAGUACUUUCAGCGAGGAGGCGUUACUCGCAGAAGAAGCACCGGCUAACUCCGUGCCAGCAGCCGCGGUAAUUC
Molecule: ribosomal RNA, 406 nt
Filed under: uncultured bacterium
Lineage: Bacteria
Description: partial 16S ribosomal RNA
Rfam family: Bacterial small subunit ribosomal RNA
Source: RNAcentral